GGGGUUGUGGCUCAAGUGGUAGCGUGCUCACCUAGCAUGUGCGAGGCACUGGGUUCGAUCCUCAAAACCACA
RNAcentral lists this transfer RNA (72 nucleotides) under Marmota monax (woodchuck). RNAcentral's name for it is "tRNA.Ala". The record is from RNAcentral. Lineage: Eukaryota; Metazoa; Chordata; Mammalia; Rodentia; Sciuridae.